CUUUGAGUGUUGCUUGUUCCAUUAA
Molecule: non-coding RNA, 25 nt
Filed under: Rattus norvegicus (Norway rat)
Lineage: Eukaryota; Metazoa; Chordata; Mammalia; Rodentia; Muridae
Source: RNAcentral